This 482-nucleotide ribosomal RNA is filed under the name uncultured bacterium. RNAcentral describes it as "bacterial SSU rRNA". It matches the Rfam family "Bacterial small subunit ribosomal RNA", at positions 26 to 507 of the family's 1533-position model. The record is from RNAcentral.
AGGACGAACGCUGGCGGCGUGCCUAACACAUGCAAGUCGAACGGAGUUCAUUGGAUUGAGGCUUCGGCCAAAUGAAUUUGAACUUAGUGGCGAACGGGUGAGUAACGCGUGAGCAACCUGCCUUUCAGAGGGGGACAACAGUUGGAAACGACUGCUAAUACCGCAUAACACAUCGAGGAGGCAUCUCCUUGAUGUCAAAGAUUUAUCGCUGAAAGAUGGGCUCGCGUCUGAUUAGAUAGUUGGUGAGGUAACGGCUCACCAAGUCGACGAUCAGUAGCCGAACUGAGAGGUUGAUCGGCCACAUUGGGACUGAGACACGGCCCAGACUCCUACGGGAGGCAGCAGUGGGGGAUAUUGCGCAAUGGGGGAAACCCUGACGCAGCAACGCCGCGUGAAGGAAGAAGGUUUUCGGAUUGUAAACCUCUGUUUUUAGUGAAGAAAAAAUGACGGUAGCUAAAGAGGAAGCCACGGCUAACUACGUG